RNAcentral lists this ribosomal RNA (492 nucleotides) under uncultured bacterium. RNAcentral describes it as "partial 16S ribosomal RNA". It matches the Rfam family "Bacterial small subunit ribosomal RNA", at positions 29 to 507 of the family's 1533-position model. The record is from RNAcentral.
AGUGAACGCUGGCGGUAGGCCUAACACAUGCAAGUCGAACGGCAGCACAGUAAGAGCUUGCUCUUACGGGUGGCGAGUGGCGGACGGGUGAGGAAUACAUCGGAAUCUACUUUUUCGUGGGGGAUAACGUAGGGAAACUUACGCUAAUACCGCAUACGACCUACGGGUGAAAGCAGGGGAUCUUCGGACCUUGCGCGAGUGAAUGAGCCGAUGUCGGAUUAGCUAGUUGGCGGGGUAAAGGCCCACCAAGGCGACGAUCCGUAGCUGGUCUGAGAGGAUGAUCAGCCACACUGGAACUAAGACACGGUCCAGACUCCUACGGGAGGCAGCAGUGGGGAAUAUUGGACAAUGGGCGCAAGCCUGAUCCAGCCAUACCGCGUGGGUGAAGAAGGCCUUCGGGUUGUAAAGCCCUUUUGUUGGGAAAGAAAAGCAGCAGGUUAAUACCCCGCUGUUCUGACGGUACCCAAAGAAUAAGCACCGGCUAACUUCGUG